GACCCUGUGGUGUAGUGAUUGCAUUGUUGUCUCUUAAUAAGAUGGUUUAGGUUCAAUUCCUGGUGGGGUCA
RNAcentral lists this transfer RNA (71 nucleotides) under Astyanax mexicanus (Mexican tetra). It matches the Rfam family "tRNA". Rfam says of the family: Transfer RNA (tRNA) molecules are approximately 80 nucleotides in length. The record is from Rfam by way of RNAcentral. Lineage: Eukaryota; Metazoa; Chordata; Actinopteri; Characiformes; Acestrorhamphidae.